UGUUUUUUAAUGAAUGAAUAUUGCAAAAAUGCUCAUUUAAUGCUUGAACUAGGUAUUGCAGUCUAAAUUCAAAAUAUUAGAGAGGGGUUUUUUCACCCGGCCCAUCCUCCUUCAGACUUGACGUACAAUCAUUUUGACAGAUUGACUACACCAACAGGAACAAGCCCACUGGAUGAUGAAUGAAAUGAAAUGCGCUGUGUUUUACACCAACUGGCAACCCAGGGUGCUGAAAUACAAUUGAGUAAACUUGUUGAACAAAGGCCUCCUAUAGCAAAAUCGAUGCGUUUUUGUAAGAAUAAUAUCCAUGUUCAAAACGUACUAAUUACUUCGAUCUAGCUUGCGUUCACUGUUUUAAAUGGAAGCAGCUCCAUGUAUUUUAAAACAAAUUUUUUAUUUGAUUGGACCUAGUUUGGCGUCUUUUCUGAAUAAAUGUUUAGUUUCAGAGACUA
Long non-coding RNA from Carassius carassius (crucian carp), 449 nucleotides. RefSeq lists it as uncharacterized. The transcript is spliced from 2 exons. The record is from RefSeq and is a predicted model, not a curated record. NCBI's taxonomy places the organism in Eukaryota, Metazoa, Chordata, Actinopteri, Cypriniformes, Cyprinidae.